UAAGGAAUAUUGCUCAAUGGGAGAAAUCCUGAAGCAGCAACGCCGCGUGGAGGAUGAAGGGUCUAUAACUUGUAAACUCCUGUAAAGAAGGAAAAAAUUCCCAUUUGAUGGGAGAUGAUGGUACUUCUGGAGUAAGCCCCGGCUAACUACGUGCCAGCAGCCGCGGUAAUACGUAGGGGGCAAGCGUUGUCCGGAUUUACUGGGUGUAAAGGGUGCUCAGGCGGAUUUGUAAGUCAGAGGUGAAAUCUUACAGCUUAACUGUGAAACUGCCUUUGAUACUGCAAGCCUAGGGUAUGGAAGAGAGUGAUGGAAUAUCUGGUGUAGCAGUGAAAUGCGUAGAUAUCAGAUAGAACAACAAUGGCGAAGGCAGUCACUUGGUCCAUUACUGACGCUAAAGCACGAAAGCGUGGGUAGCAAAC
This 419-nucleotide ribosomal RNA is filed under the name uncultured bacterium. RNAcentral describes it as "bacterial SSU rRNA". It matches the Rfam family "Bacterial small subunit ribosomal RNA", at positions 355 to 773 of the family's 1533-position model. The record is from RNAcentral.